RNAcentral lists this long non-coding RNA (1247 nucleotides) under Homo sapiens (human). Its description in RNAcentral is "non-protein coding lnc-MMD-1:1". The record is from RNAcentral. Lineage: Eukaryota; Metazoa; Chordata; Mammalia; Primates; Hominidae.
UGAGUGUAAAAUUUUAUUGCGUGGAGGUAGCUCUCAGCGGACGGAGGAUCCACAAGGGAGGUAGUCUUCCCCUGCAGUUGGGCCUCUCAGCAGCCCGGCUGUCCUCCCACUGCCCUGGCCAGACUGCCCUGGCCAGACUCCACUGCCUGCGGGCAUGCUCUUCGGCCGCAGAGGAGGCAUGCUCUUCUGCGAGCUCUUCUCAACGACCAGCUGCUUGUGUCUUCUUCAGCCGACGUGCUCCUUUUGAUGUGUGGCUGCCCGCUAGGAUGUGUGUGUGGUACGGGGCGGGGGGUGGGGGUGGAGAACGGUUAUUAUAGGUACAGGAUGGGGCGUGGCAGGCCAGGGUGGUGUCGGGAAAUGCAACAGUUGGGCAGGAAAUGUCUGUCCUCACCUAGGUCCGUGGGGUGGAUCCCUAACAAGGGACCACGCCCUCCUCUACCCUGCACUUCCCUUCCCCGGUUUCCUAUUAUUUAAAGAGACCAGGGUCUUCCCUUCCCAGCACUCCCAUAUUAAUUCCACGCAAGUGGAAGUCACCAACAGCUACACCAGCAUUGUCAGAAGGAAUAUUAAUUAAACUGCUGUCGCUGCAGAUUGUGACUGGGGGCCUGUUUGCUUGGAUGUAGGAACAAUUGGAGAAAUUCCAUCGCUGCCCAGCUGACACUGGUGGUCAGCUGCUAAUGACCCUUCCGCUGGAGAGAAGAGGAAGUGGGCUUGGCUCUAACUUGCCCUGAUCCCCUUCCAGCCUGACAUUUCUAUGCACAGAGAACUAAUGGAGUCAGACCAGACUGCAAAUUCCCAUGCUGCCAUGCAGAAGCCAGGAGUAUGAAAUCAAGGUGUCAGAGGGGCUGUACUCCCUCCGAAGGCUGCAGGAGAAAAUCUAUUGCUUGCCUCUUCUACCUUUUGGUGGUUCCAGGAGUUCCUUGGCUUGUGAUCACAUCACUGAAAUCUUAACCUACCUGGUCAUACUGCUGCCUCUUCUUCUCUCUCAAAACUUCUCCUGCCUCUCUUCAUACUUGUGAUUGCAUUUAGGGUCCAUCUGGGUACUCCAGGAAAAACUCCUACUGUCAAGAUUUAACUUAAUCAUAUCUUAUGUCAUAUAAAGUCAUGUUCAAUAUUUUACAACAUAAAAUAAUAGUCACAGUUUCUGGAGAUAAGGACAUGGGCGUGUCUUUUGGGGGAUCAUCCUUCAAUCCAUUGCAUCUAUCUAUCAGUGAUCACCCCAACCCAAAUAAACCCGCAUAAUAUUU